Molecule: long non-coding RNA, 2967 nt
Organism: Acinonyx jubatus (cheetah)
Lineage: Eukaryota; Metazoa; Chordata; Mammalia; Carnivora; Felidae
Exons: 6
Source: RefSeq, a predicted model, not a curated record
GGACAUUCCUUGUGGGGACAGGGAAGAUCCUCUGGAGCUCCACUCGGACCACUGAGCCCUGCUUCCUGGCACUUUAACCUAACAAGUCCAGAUAUGAUCUCAUCAUCCUCCUCCCCCUCUUCUCCUGACUUCUCACUUUCCUAAAGGCCCUGUCUCAGCUGGUGGUGCCAGCAUCCACCCACUUGCCAACACAGAAAUCUGGGAGUCAUCGUGGACUCUUCUCGCCCCUUCCCAGCCCACAUCUGACCAGUCACUAAGUCCUCUCGCUGCUGUCUUCAUGUCUGUUACUUCUAUACAACCUCACCACUCUCAUCUGAGCACCAGCCUCCACAUCUCCCAUGUCUACUCUUAAAGGCUCUUCCUGCCUCUUGACUGGCUUUUUUCCAUCUACCUUCCUUACUGAUGCCAGAGUGAGUUUUCUCAAAAGCGAACUGGACCGUAUCAUUUCCAGGGCUUAGAACCAUGGCUCUCCCCCAGUGUUGUCUUCAGGAUGAAAUCCAGCCCCUUAGCCUGAGAUAUAAGACACAUUAUGAUUGGCUGGUGUAAACUUCUUUAGCUGCUUCCCUUGUAUUUGUGCACCCUCGUUAUAUAUGCUUUGAUAAGAUAAAAGCUGCUUCUAGCAAACGGAGUACAUUGUACUGCCUGAUGCUGUCACUCCUUUUGCAUGUGGAAGACUCUCUUCUUGAGUUCCCAUUCAGCACCUAUUCAUACUUUAAAAUCCAUCCCAGAAAUCCCCACCUCCUCUGGAAAGACUUCUUUUCCUUCAUGCUACUUCUGGUCCCAGCACAAGCUUCUCCUUGCCAUUCUUUGCAUAGUAAUAUAAUGAUGCCUUUACUUACCAAAUGAACUCUUUCAAGGCUAGGACCGUGACUUAUUCUUUUUGGUAUCCCCAAGCUUAGCAUGGGGGCUAACCCAGAAUAGUGGCUCACAAAUAAAUAAAUUGGAUGAGUUUGGGUCCAAGACCUUCAAAUGCAACCUGGAAACUCUCAGCCUUCUAGAAACUUCUAAGAACCAAUAAGUAUUGGCAACGAAGGCAGUUUAGCAGGAGUGAAUCAUUGUCCUUUAUGGGGUUAAUACUGAAGAGAGUAUGACCUGGGAGCCAUCCUGUACUUCCUAACAUUGUGUUUGAUCAAGGGCACCUCUAAUUACAGCUGGGCCUCUUCCUGGGCCUAGGACACCUGUAAGACUGUAUUUAUCAAGGCUUUGACCAGGUUAGAGUAGAGUUUAAUGGUAAAAGCUAGGCAUCACAAUUAGGCAGAAUUAGGUUUUGAUCUUUGGUUGGUUGUGCAACUUUGGAGUGGUAAUUUUACUUCUUUAUGUCUUGGUCUCCUCAUCUAUAAAAUGAGGAUAAAAAAGGCUCCCAUGCCUUUGUAAAGAUGAAAUGACUUCCUGCAUCUGAAGUGCUUAACAUAGUACCUAUCAUAUGGGAGCAAAAGUGUGGCCUUACUGGGAACUAUUAGAGAAACAAAGCAUUCAUGCUGAUAUUUGAGCCUCAGUGUAAAUGUCCCUUCUUCUCUUACUAGCGCACUCAAGCUGACUGCAUUAAGGUGUCUGUUGACCUUGUAAAACAAGCUGAGUCCUGAAGCACAAGGCUGAUCUUGUCCAUGCUGUGGAUGUCUGUCCUUUUAUCUUGUUCACUUCUCAUCUGUUUACAUUGAUGCUUAAGGCUAGAAGAAGGUGCCUCGUCAGAAGACACAAACACACGCCAGACCCAGGAAGAUUGGAAGGGAGGGUGUGCAAGGCAGAAAGAUACACCAGCACCUGCCAUGAUGCAUCUUGGCUGAGAAAUUUGAGCCAGGAACCUCCCCUUCCCACAGGCUACCCGCUCCAACCCACAGUGGAAGGAGACCCUAAGCUUAUUUCAACCUCCAUUCUGGGACAUACAGUUACCUGCAUGGGGGAUAGGACUUCCCCUACAAAGCAGAUUCAAAGAUAAAAUUAUUAAGAAGUUCAAGAUGGCAAGUGCAGAGCAUUAAACUCCAAGCAAGAGGCCCUUCUGAGCAUUGGACCCUGUGUGAUUGCCUUGAUCUUAUACUUAUAGCCUCUCCCAAGGAUCAUUGUCCCCUCUUUCCCUGUCAGGGUCUUGUCUUUGGUGUAAAGGGAUGCACUUGGCAUUCUUUGAAGUUCUGCCAUUCUUAGAGUGCAGUCCUGUGCCUGCUCUUCAGCUCUGGUAGCCCGCAAGCUGUGGGAGCUUUCCCCUUGGGGGCUCAUCGCCUUGGCUGGGAAUGUGUGUCCAGGCGGAGGGCUGAAAGGAUUGGCCCCUGUUGUGUUCUGCAGAGUUUUAAGAAUGUGAGUAUGUGUGCUCGGGUGUACACCUCAAGAUGAGUGCCCUGGCCUUCCAGCCUGGAACUAACCACUGCUUCUUUCCCUGUCCCUGAGGAGCCUGGCUGUACUUACCCUUGGGCACUGCUCUUUCCAAGAGCUGUCUUCUUUGGCUGACAUCCCCUUGUCCUCAGGCUGUGGGGCAGGGAGGAGUGUCCUGAGCCAGGCCAUUUGUGUGCACCUGCUGUUCUCGGUUCCCAGCCCAGCCAGUGCCCUGCUGCUGCUCUGUCUCCAGGCACUGGCUGGCAGGCAGUCCUACCCUCAGCCCCCAUGGAAAUGCAGGAAAGAGCAGCUCUAAGGCCCUCUUCAGAAUCUGUUACCUGGUUGGCACUUGGCUGUCCUCCUAUUCCCUACGCCACUGUUUUCCAUCUCCAUUGGGACCCAACCAUCUUCUGGCUUUCCAGAGGGAUUCCUCACAGUUUUGACAGGACCUCAGACUCAUCCAGCUCCUUAUCACUUUCAUUUUUCCUCCAGGGUUGGACUGUGGUGAGGGAGCCAGCAGCCCUUUGUUAGUUUAUCAUGUUGCUGGAAACCAGAAACAGCAGUGAGAAUGGACUUUAAAAGCAGCCUCUUGAAGACUAUUAAAUAUGGAGAACAAACAGAGGGUUACUGGAGGGGUUGUGGGAGGGGGGUGGGCUAAAUGGG